UUUUUUUCUGACAAGGCGUCGGACAACCCACCUCCACCGUGGAAAAAGACAUUGAUAUCGCUCGCUGCUCCGCUAUUGAAUUUCCGGCUGAUUGGACCACAGAAGUGGUCCGGAUCACCUUGAGGACUUUAUGUGGCACCUCGGGGAGAAGCUCGUUCAGCUGAGAUCGCGAGGCCCCCAGUAGCCACUGGAAGGACGGUGCUCUCUUCAGCAUGAGCUGACCGACCAGAGGGCUGAUACUCGGAAAUUGCAACAGACACUUUUCCUCCUGACGGGAAAAGGAAAAGGUUGUUUAAGCUCUCACAUAGUGGCAUAUUGUACAUUGUAUGUAUAAAACAUACAAGUCAGUUGAAAAAACGUAUAAAAAAAAAGAAAAUACAGAAGUAGCUGUCACAGUUUAGUUGCCACGACAGAAAACACACAUGCUCCUGUAAUUGCACAUAUAAACUUAAAAAUUGUGAGAAAAUAUUUUUCUGCUGAUGUAAGUAAACACGCUUGUACAUAUUUAUUUUUUAAUUUAAUUAGGUAGACAGAUUAGGUAUUUUAAUCUGUAUUCUGGAAGAAAUGGGAAUUGAAUUAACUAAUGGGAUUUGAUUUUUUUUUACAUAGUGCAGAACAUAGAGAGCUACAGUCGUCCACAUUAGAUGGAAUAAAUGCAUCAAAACGGGUUGAUUUUACAGUUGUUUCUCAAAUGAUAAAAACAGGACUGAACUUUCUCUAAUGGUUUACUCUCUGUGAGGUUUUUUUUUUUGUGUGUGACUCUACCUGUGAAGGCAUCACAGUCAACCAGUCUCUGUUGAGGAAGCCCAGAGGAUCCCUGUCACUGGACGUCAGGCAGUGGAAGCAGAUCUGACUGAUCCACUUGGCAAUUUCCAAAACCUCCGACACGAUCAGCACCUGAAACAAACAUUUCUAUCAGCGUUGAGUGUAACUCUAUUGUACAUUACUGAAGUACAAGUACAAUUUUGAGAUCCUUGGACUUCGUUCCAAACAGCACCAGGGACGAAUAAACCAACACCACGUUACCGAAGGCUUCGCUGGAAAAUCUGCCAUCACACAGACCAGAAACAGUAAUGG
This is a long non-coding RNA of Scophthalmus maximus (turbot), 1077 nucleotides long. RefSeq lists it as uncharacterized. The record is from RefSeq and is a predicted model, not a curated record. Lineage: Eukaryota; Metazoa; Chordata; Actinopteri; Pleuronectiformes; Scophthalmidae. The transcript has 3 exons.